AUUUAAUUUCUGACUUGUUUUGUCUUAUGUUUCUUUGUUUAUUGCAGUAAUACAGUGACAAAGGCUCAGAGAGGCACCUUCACAGAGUCAACUACAACUACAACUUGUUCUCUGCAGCAGAUAGAGGAGAUGUUCUUAUUCCUUAACUAUGUGUUACUGGGCCUAAAGCAGCGUGACCUUGCAGAUAGAUAUGGGCUCCACAAGUCCACAGUCAGCAGCAGCAUCACAACAUGGAGCAACUUCCUCUAUACCAUCCUUGGGUGCAUGUUGAGCGCCUCAUUCUCAGAGUAAGGGAAGGAAGUUCUUCAACAGAAAGAGCCCACUCUGACUUCUUGACAACAUUAACCAACUAUAUGCUGUGGCAUGUCUCCUUACAAACUAUAAAAACUGACCUCUUGUAAAAGGAUGGGCAAAGAAACCUGUGUAGACCUUGAAACUGUACACAUUUAUUUAUGACCUUAAUGCAUCAUAAAGCAUGUAAUGCAUUUAUUGUGCUUAUUGCCCUUGUGUAGUUCUGUUUUAAACUCUAUUUAACUGUAAA
Mugil cephalus (flathead mullet) is the source of this 541-nucleotide long non-coding RNA. RefSeq lists it as uncharacterized. Lineage: Eukaryota; Metazoa; Chordata; Actinopteri; Mugiliformes; Mugilidae. The transcript is spliced from 2 exons. The record is from RefSeq and is a predicted model, not a curated record.